Molecule: long non-coding RNA, 507 nt
Filed under: Homo sapiens (human)
Lineage: Eukaryota; Metazoa; Chordata; Mammalia; Primates; Hominidae
Description: HSALNT0009037
Source: RNAcentral
UGGAACCCUCAGGUGGUGCUGUGGCAUGACCUCCAGGAAGAAAGAGGUGCUCCUCUCCAUUUUAAAGAUGAAGAAACUGAACCUCUGGGGAGCAGAAGUGAAAUUCAAAACCAGAAAAAAUAUCUUCUGCCAAAAGUAUUUUGAAAACCAAAGUGAUUUGCCUCUACUUGAAAAAUCAACUUCUAAAUUACACUCAAAAGGUGCCUUGUUGUGAACUGCCCUAUGGAUAGAAACACAUGGUAACUUUGAUGCCUCUGGAUAGCAGCAAGUAUGCACUUAAAGCCUGCCAAAGUCCAUGUGAAGAAGCAUGGAAGUGGAUUAUCUUCCAAACACUCACUGACAUGGCUACAGCCUCACCCGACACUUUUACUGCAGUCUUCUGAGAGAUACUCCCUAAGCCAGGGGAUCCAGCUAAGCCAUUCCAAGAUUCUUGACCUAUAGAAACUGCAGUAUAAUAAAUGUUUGUUUUGCUAAGCCACAAAGUUUUGGGGUGAUGUUUUAUAUAAC